RNAcentral lists this ribosomal RNA (492 nucleotides) under uncultured bacterium. RNAcentral describes it as "partial 16S ribosomal RNA". It matches the Rfam family "Bacterial small subunit ribosomal RNA", at positions 29 to 507 of the family's 1533-position model. The record is from RNAcentral.
AGUGAACGCUGGCGGUAGGCCUAACACAUGCAAGUCGAACGGCAGCACAGUAAGAGCUUGCUCUUACGGGUGGCGAGUGGCGGACGGGUGAGGAAUACAUCGGAAUCUACUUUUUCUUGGGUGAUAACGUAGGGAAACUUACGCUAAUACCGCAUACGACCUACGGGUGAAAGCAGGGGAUCUUCGGACCUUGCGCGAUUGAAUGAGCCGAUGUCGGAUUAGCUAGUUGGCGGGGUAAAGGCCCACCAAGGCGACGAUCCGUAGCUGGUCUGAGAGGAUGAUCAGCCACACUGGAACUGAGACACGGUCCAGACUCCUACGGGAGGCAGCAGUGGGGAAUAUUCGACAAUGGGCGAAAGCCUGAUCCAGCCAUACCGCGUGGGUGAAGAAGGCCUUCGGGUUGUAAAGCCCUUUUGUUGGGAAAGAAAAGCAGCAGGUUAAUACCCCGAUGUUCUGACGGUACCCAAAGAAUAAGCACCGGCUAACUUCGUG